AGCAGCCGCGGUAAUUCCAGCUCCAAUAGCGUAUAUUAAAGUUGUUGCAGUUAAAAAGCUCGUAGUUGAAUUUCGGGAUCAGUACGCCGGUCGUGCCUCCGGUAUGUACUGGUGUCACUGGUUCCUCCCUUCUGAAGAACCAUCAUGCUAUUAAUUUAGUGUGGUGGGAAAUCAGGACUGUUACUUUGAAAAAUUAGAGUGUUUAAAGCAGGCUCACGCUUGAAUACAUUAGCAUGGAAUAAUGAAAUAGGACGUUGAUCCUAUUUUGUUGGUUUCUAGGAUUGACGUAAUGAUUAAUAGGGAUAGGUUGGGGGCAUUAGUAUUCAAUUGUC
RNAcentral lists this ribosomal RNA (332 nucleotides) under uncultured Glomus. Its description in RNAcentral is "SSU rRNA". It matches the Rfam family "Eukaryotic small subunit ribosomal RNA", at positions 569 to 906 of the family's 1831-position model. The record is from RNAcentral. Lineage: Eukaryota; Fungi; Glomeromycota; Glomeromycetes; Glomerales; Glomeraceae.